UAUUAAUAAAUUUACAUUAAGAGUUGGUUUAAUUAUAAAUAUUACAUAAUGACAAUUUGCAGGCAUGUGGUUAGUAGAUUGAAAAUUAGCGCCUUAAAGAUUUCACUAGCAAAUGAUGAAGAGUCAAAAUGAGCAAACGGUUCAAAGUCUUGUUGCAUCAGCUAUAUUGAUUUCGCCUUUGUUUUGCAACAACUUCAAUCAUCUGAGGCCAUUAAACUAAUCAAUUGGUGCGAUGGACCAAAGAACAGGUCAAUCAACUUUAAUAUCUAACCCAUUAGUCCGCCAUCUGAUUAAUUUUAAGCCCUAUCGCCUUGCCUAGAUUUGUCAAAAUAAAAACGGAUAUUUUUUCCAAUGAGAAAGACGAGGACAAAAUCUGAAAGGAAAAAUGAGGUCGAGGGCCAUUCGAGCAAAAUUCAAAAAAGCAAAAGACAAUAUCGUAAUGGUUUAAAUCAACUAAGUAGAGUAAAUUAAAAUAAUAGGAGAUACAAUUAUAUUUGGUGUCCAUUGAGUACAAUAUUCAGUUCGGGUAAAAACGUUUACAUGGUUGCUACUGAACAGGACUCACGUCAAGUUAUCAGACUCUUUAUGUUAAAGGCUUCAUAACUUAAAGUAUUAGCAAUGGUGAUGUAUGUUGAGAUAUUUUAAUCCAACAUCGAGCAUUUCAAGACGUGAAACAGUGGAACCCUUCUGGUCAUCUCAAUUCACUUGAUUGGCUUUAUUUGGUUUAUUUACAUUUGCUGUUUUGGUCUUGACUUGGUGGUCUUUUGCUUUGCUGGUUUUGGCUCAAAUGAUCCUAGCCCAAAAGGAUGAGCAAGGUGUGGCGGAGGAUAGACGAGAAUCGAUGAUUAGAUGGACCAGAUCUUUCACUUGACCUUAAAUUAUAUCAAAUUGGUUACCAUGAUUGACUCAAGUUGCACUUGUUGAGCAAACAUUAAUUUGAAUCCAUUGUCUGAUUUCAUUUUAUCGUGUAAAACAAGCAAAGGAAAUGAUGAGGUAAACCAAAGAAGAAGAAACUGAUGAAAAUUGGACGACGAUGACGAUCAUGAUGAACAAGAUUUCUUCUGCAAACCAAGUAAACAGAACCUAAGCCGUAGGAAUGGAUGAAUUUUCAAUGGUGAAAAAGCACACUGAUCAUGUAAUCAUUUAAAUUACUUGUUACAAGGUUGAAUGUGGCCUGGAGAGAGGAAAGCAAUGCAAACAGCAACCGAGUCUCUCCUUGUGGUUAUUGAGUCCUUGGAUGAAUUAAAUUAUGUUUCAACUUAAUCACAAACCCAAAUCUGGUUCUUUCUAUGCUGAUUUUCAUAAUGGUGAUUAGCAUUACGUAAAUUAAAUAAUCAAUGGCAAAUCUUAAUCGCCUAGUGGCAAGAGAGAGAAUGAUGGUUAAUUUGCUGAAAACUUUAACUCAUUACAAAAAUUUGACAAUAAUUUGCUUCUUCAAGUACACAACAAUUCACAAUCAUUUGUCAUCAAACGAAGGAUUUAUCGUUGAUUGCGGCUGGCAUGGAAAUCAAAAUUGUCCAUUUACAUUGCUCCUAGAAAUUAUCAUGGAAAAUUAAGAAACUGAAUAUCGUGUUAUUACCAAUUGAUAUCACCAUGAAAGCGAGACUACACAUUUUAUUGAUUAGUAAAAGGCAAAAGGCAAGAAAAGGAUUUACAUUUGAGUGAAACUCGCAAGUUAAUUGUUAUCGAAAUGCGUGGUUAAACAAGCCAAAGGAGGGAAAAAGAUAGUUGAAGGAAAAACUCGGAGGAAAAGAAAUAAUCUUCAAGUUGAAUGAUGAUUAUUUACAAUGAAUUAACUCAUUAAUUGUUGUUCACCUUAAGGCAACUCAACUGAAAAUAAUACAAUGCACAACGAUUGCGAUAUUGCUGGUAGAAACGAUAUUUUUAUCAUCAGUACAUAAAGACUCAAGCACUUGGAAUGCAAUCAGCAGUUCACUGGAAACAAAAGCUUUUCUCGUUUCGUUUUUUCCUCACUUUGGGAUCAUCUAAUUUAUGCUUGAAAUUGUGACUAUCAAGCAUCCAGUGAUAUCGAAAGGGAAAUAGUUAAACUGUUCGUGUAAUUAACAAUGUACAAUGGUUAAUACAAUGUACAUAGCUUUCGUUGCCACUGCUAAUGAUUUUGAUAAUUAUCAUAUGCUUUUGACGUAAAACCCUCUUUAAUCCAAGGUUAAUAUCAUUUUUUUCACAGUUUGUGUACUUUGGUGGAUCGUAAAAGCUAUUUACUUUCAUUUGAACCAAGGCCAGUUAAGGUCAAUUGACUUUGAAACUAGAUUUUUGUUCAUGUUUCAGUGAUUUAAUUUAUUCAGCUCAAAAUUAUAAAUUUUCAUCAAACAAAAUUGUUGCUCUCUUUCUCGCAUAAUUUGAUUCUAAACAAUGGAUUUAAACAUUGAUUAACACGGCUGAACCAAUUGCGACAGCAAACAAUGGAUUCUUACCUCAUCAUUACAGUCUUUUUAAAUUCCAUAAAAUUGAUUGAAACUG
Molecule: long non-coding RNA, 2481 nt
Organism: Tetranychus urticae (two-spotted spider mite)
Lineage: Eukaryota; Metazoa; Arthropoda; Arachnida; Trombidiformes; Tetranychidae
Source: RefSeq, a predicted model, not a curated record